Molecule: long non-coding RNA, 2713 nt
Filed under: Homo sapiens (human)
Lineage: Eukaryota; Metazoa; Chordata; Mammalia; Primates; Hominidae
Description: HSALNT0084204
Source: RNAcentral
GGCACUCAUGGCUGUGCCUCGGUGCUUUCCUGUUGAACAUAAAUGAUUUCACAGAACAUUAAUAUGAGACAAGAUCACUCUGUGACUAUGAUAGAUCAAGACACAACAACAACGAAGAUAGCAAACAGACCAUUCCAGAAUCAUGCCUAAAUAGAGACAAAACAUGCAUAUCAUCCGAGCUGCAAAAUACAAAAAUCUCUCUUCCUCAGGUAAUAUGAGUGGCUGCUUUUUUUAUUAUUAUUAAUUACUGCUUUAGCAUCUAGAAUGCCCUCCCAUAGGUAAGAUUUAUUGAGGUACCAAUCAUAGAAUGACCUUCCCUUCUUGACUGCAGCCAACAGAGACCAAUUCCCUAUUUCACUAAAUCCUUUCAAAACCACCAAGCAAAGCUCACAUCCUAUAAUAGGUUCUUUCUGACACCCUUUACUGGGACACCUGGCAAUUCUCCAUGGUGUGUGUGUACUCCCUCACGGUGACAAAUGAGAAACCCAACUUACUUAAGUGCAGGUGAGCUCUUGGAGGCCUUUGGCUGCAGGGCACCGACAUCUCACAGCCCAGCAUGUGGUGACAGACUUGGGGCCACUGGGUUCAAUAGAGUCAACAGUCAGGAAGAAGAUUUGGAUGAAAACAGAAGACAGUGAGGACUAAAGGCCAGGAGAAAAGAAAUGGAAGUAUACUGUUGUGAGGAUUUUGUACUAUAUGAAGGGGCAAUAUAUCACUUGAAGGGUGCCUGUGAUAUAUACUACUAUAUAUCCUGAAGCAACUACUAAAAUAAGCAAACAAAGAAGGUAGUAAGAAAGGAAAAAGACAAAUAGUCAAUGGGAGAAAUCACCUGGCAGCUCUGCACCUUACCUGCUUCCUCCUCUGAAAUCUUUGGUUGCCACCUAGCUUUUGCCUCCUUAGGUCUCAGGAAAGGAUCUCUGUUGGUUCCUCUUAUGCAGAGCCAUUGGGGAAAGUCGAAUGGGCAUUCCUGCCUUGUUUGAAGAAUCCUCUGUAUUCUCACUGCAAGGUGCAGAGAAGGCUGGGUGCUUCCCAGGGGCUUGUGCCGUCUGUCCAGAGUGAAGAGCACCCCUAGUGGUCCAGCCAGGGACUGCAUCCACCAGCCCUCUCAUCCAAGUGUGGCCAUUGGAUCUUGCCCAUAUUAUGUGGAAAGAAUAAACUUUCUCAGCCUAGAAUUUGAGCCCAGCCAGAUCCUCUCUUGGGUUGGAGAUGAUGAGUGCUUGUCUACUCUUAGCGUCCUGCAGACCAAGACAGGCAGUGAAGCACCUGGCCGGCCUGACACUGAUGGUGCAUUUGCUGUGGAUCCCAGCAGGCCAUGACUUUGCAUCCAUCAGUCCAUCAUGGACUGGGAGACAGUAAGAGGUGGCUGUGGGAGUGAGCCUCCAAAAAGCUAUGAAAACAUUUUAUUGAAAAGUCAACACAUGAGAUGAUGUUCAGAUUUUGUUUCUCAAAUGUUUAUAUAUUUUAUAAUCAUGCAGCUAAUUGUUGAAAUUCUGUAGAGACUUGUGUCAGCAGAGAAAAGAUUUUCUAGUCAGCUUUCCUUUUUAAGCAAAAUCUUGCACGGAUUUCACUAUGUAAAUUGCACCCACGGAAGGCUGCCUUGGUGGAAGAAAGCAGGACUCCUGGUUUCCUGGGUUCAGGCUCAGUCUCACACUGCCCCCCCAGUGACCGCAGCACCCCAACCCCCAGGGAUCAGCAUGAUCAGGAGCUGGGAACAGGUGGACACAUCCUGGGGCCUAGUUACAAGUGCUUGUAGUCACAGUUUGUGACGGCCCCAAAGGAUUUUACAUUAAAAAUUCUAUACAGAUUAGUAGUCUUCCCAACAUAGAUUGGGGAAUUAUUUUAGAAAGGUUGAGGGGCAUGCCCAAAGUCACACAGCUGAAAGAGGAGUCAAUAUGAUCACCCAGGUCUGUCACCAUUUGGUUCAAGUUGUGUUUACACCACCAUUGCUUGCCAUUAAACAACUGUACCAUGGGCAGAGGGCCAAAUUAUUGCACGUUGCUCCAUUGCUCAAUGUGACUGUUGUGCCAGCAUAGCCCUAAUAAAGACGUCUGCAUACAAGAAGGGGCUGUGGGAAAGUGCUCAGGGUCAGGAAUCCAGAUGAAAAGAGGCCCUAAGAGUCUUUUGGAUUUCCUAGGGCUUCUUACACUAGGAUGUCAUGAUAAAUGACUUUAUCUUUUUAUUCUGAUACUGUUUUUGGUUGUGACAUUUUCAGAACUUUGUUGCUCACAAAAGUUCACAAAUACAACUACAAAUCUCUACAUAAUGCUCAUAUAAUAAUUAAAUUAGCUUUUCUUCUCUUUAGAAUCAAUGGGACACCAUUUAUAUUUCUCUUAGUUGCUCAGAGCUAUAUAAAAUACACAUAGCUUUAAAUCUAACUGUUAUGCCAUGGCUCUAACUGGAAAUAUAAUUACUUUAAGGAGUCACAAAAAUGGUUAAUUAAAAAAUAAACUUGACUGAAAGUUAAAUUUGGAUUUUCUUGGCAAAUCAACAAAAACGAAGCUGCCAUUGUUAUUGUACAACAAUGCUUAUUUGCAAGUCUUUCUCUUCUAUUUUAUUGUAAUUUUCUAUGAGUAACAUAAGCAUUUCUUAGUAAAUGAAUGAAGGAAUUUAUUAACCAUGAGUAAAUGAUUGUAUACCUUUAAAUAAAUUGGCUUUGAGUUUAUACAGCAUCCACAUUAAAAUAAGCUAGGGUAGUGUCCUAAAGGGUUAAGAC